AAAGUCGUAACAAGGUUUCCGUAGGUGAACCUGCGGAAGGAUCAUUACCGAGUGGACCGUCGCGAGACGGGACUACCCGACCUAUUGUCAUGUGCACGUGUGGGGUGUGGGGAGAGGUGCGGCUUGGGAUGGUUACCCGGAAGGGUUUGACUUGAACGGCCCACGUAUCCACCACCCCAGCGAGAGGUAAUUUCGGCGGAAGAGGUAGGCGCUUAGACCUGCCCGCCGCCGGCCGUAGUCUUUUAACUCUCACGAGAACCUGAAGUCUGAAGCGAAGCGAAAAGCAAAUGAGAAGCAAAACUUUCAACAACGGAUCUCUUGGCUCUG
This 327-nucleotide unclassified non-coding RNA is filed under the name Ascomycota sp. RNAcentral describes it as "partial contains small subunit ribosomal RNA, internal transcribed spacer 1, and 5.8S ribosomal RNA". The stretch from base 1 to 47 matches the Rfam family "Eukaryotic small subunit ribosomal RNA", at positions 1785 to 1831 of the family's 1831-position model. Lineage: Eukaryota; Fungi; Ascomycota. The record is from RNAcentral.